CCGCAAGGUUAAAACUCAAAUGAAUUGACGGGGGCCCGCACAAGCGGUGGAGCAUGUGGUUUAAUUCGAUGCAACGCGAAGAACCUUACCUGGUCUUGACAUCCACAGAACUUUCCAGAGAUGGAUUGGUGCCUUCGGGAACUGUGAGACAGGUGCUGCAUGGCUGUCGUCAGCUCGUGUUGUGAAAUGUUGGGUUAAGUCCCGCAACGAGCGCAACCCUUAUCCUUUGUUGCCAGCGGUCCGGCCGGG
This 249-nucleotide ribosomal RNA is filed under the name Escherichia coli. RNAcentral describes it as "partial 16S ribosomal RNA". It matches the Rfam family "Bacterial small subunit ribosomal RNA", at positions 886 to 1135 of the family's 1533-position model. The record is from RNAcentral. Lineage: Bacteria; Pseudomonadati; Pseudomonadota; Gammaproteobacteria; Enterobacterales; Enterobacteriaceae.